UCCUUUUCCGCUGCCUUUAUUACUGUGGAAAGCUUCAGUUUUCCAUGUUUCCCUUUCCAAACCGGGCUGUUGGGGCAGGUUUGCAGCAGGGGAGGCCAGGGGAGGAUGAGGAUGAGGAUGGUGUUUUGGGAUAUCCCGGUGUUUUGGGAUGAACCGGUGCUGUAAUGGUGCGAGCAGGCCGGGCGCUGCUGUCACUGGGGGCUUGUUGGAGUUUGUGGGAUUCCAUUGGAAUUCCUGAUGUUGUUUGAUAUCAAUGGAUAAAAUCCUGCCCCCGAGGUGACGCGCAGCAGCGGCGCCUCUGCCCCCUCCCUCCAUUGCUGCCCAAUGCAGGUACAUGGACCCCAGCCUCAACCCACCCAGAGGGGCUCUGUGCCCCCCUCAAUCCCAAAUCCCUGCUUCCCAAAUCCCCGAUCCCAGCUUGGCUGCCAGGAAGGGUCCCAGGGAAACUGCCCUUGUCCCCAGGGAUUCCUUCCCCUCCCAAAAACCAGGGUGAAACUCAAGAUGCUCCAUGUCCCUCCUGCAGCGAGUGCUGGGGAAGCUCCCAUAUUCCCAGGGCUCUUCCCAGCCCUAUUCCUAAGGGUUUACCCCCAAUUCCCAUAGGCUUAGCUCCAGUUUCCAGGGCUUUAGCCCCCAUUUCCAGGGCUUUAGCCCCAGUUCCCAGGGGUUUAGCUCCAAUUCCCAGUGGUUUAGGCUCAAUUCUCAAGGGUUUAGCCCCAAUUCCCAAGGUUUUGGCCCCAAUUCCAAAUUGUUUAGCUCUGAUUCCCAAAGGUUUAGCCCCAGUUCCCAAGAGUUUAGCUCAAAUUCCUAGGGUUUAGCCCUAAUUCUCAAUGGUUUAGCCCUAAUUCCCAGGGGUGUAGUUCCAAUUCCCAAGGGUUCAACCCCAAUUCCCAAGUAUUCAGCCGCAAUUCCCACCUUGAGCAGCCUCUCAUGGCAAUUCCUGCUCUGGUGCUGGUUCCCCUCCCCACAACAGCCCAGGUCGUGCUGUGCCAUUGGCUUCACUUGGCCAAGCUGGGGCUGCUUAAAACUUCAUCCACCUCCCCCCAGACACCUCCCCCUGGCUCCAAAUCCC
Long non-coding RNA from Strigops habroptila (Kakapo), 1069 nucleotides. NCBI's taxonomy places the organism in Eukaryota, Metazoa, Chordata, Aves, Psittaciformes, Psittacidae. The record is from Ensembl.